Molecule: ribosomal RNA, 229 nt
Filed under: uncultured bacterium
Lineage: Bacteria
Description: partial 16S ribosomal RNA
Rfam family: Bacterial small subunit ribosomal RNA
Source: RNAcentral
UGCGUAGGCGGAUUAAUAAGUCAGUGGUGAAAACCUGCAGCUUAACUGUAGAACUGCCAUUGAUACUGUUAGUCUUGAGUACGGUCAAGGUAGGCGGAAUGUGUAAUGUAGCGGUGAAAUGCUUAGAUAUUACACAGAGCACCGAUUGCGAAGGCAGCUUACUGGGCCAUUACUGACGCUGAGGCACGAAAGCGUGGGGAGCGAACAGGAUUAGAUACCCUGGUAGUCC